This 85-nucleotide transfer RNA is filed under the name Phycisphaerae bacterium. RNAcentral's name for it is "tRNA-Leu". It matches the Rfam family "tRNA". From Rfam's summary of the family: Transfer RNA (tRNA) molecules are approximately 80 nucleotides in length. Lineage: Bacteria; Pseudomonadati; Planctomycetota; Phycisphaerae. The record is from RNAcentral.
GCCCCCGUGGCGGAACGGCAGACGCUACGGACUUAAAAUCCGUUGAACCGGAAGGUUCGUGUGGGUUCGAAUCCCACCGGGGGCA